This 156-nucleotide ribosomal RNA is filed under the name Brassica napus (rape). Its description in RNAcentral is "rRNA 5_8S_rRNA". It matches the Rfam family "5.8S ribosomal RNA". From Rfam's summary of the family: 5.8S ribosomal RNA (5.8S rRNA) is a component of the large subunit of the eukaryotic ribosome. It is transcribed by RNA polymerase I as part of the 45S precursor that also contains 18S and 28S rRNA. Functionally, it is thought that 5.8S rRNA may be involved in ribosome translocation. Lineage: Eukaryota; Viridiplantae; Streptophyta; Magnoliopsida; Brassicales; Brassicaceae. The record is from RNAcentral.
AACUCUCGGCAACGGAUAUCUCGGCUCUCGCAUCGAUGAAGAACGUAGCUAAAUGCGAUACUUGGUGUGAAUUGCAGAAUCCAGUGAACCAUCGAGUCUUUGAACGCAAGUUGCACCCCAAGCCUUCUGGCCGAGGGCACGUCUGCCUGGGUGUCA